RNAcentral lists this small RNA (763 nucleotides) under Pan troglodytes (chimpanzee). RNAcentral describes it as "processed transcript". The record is from RNAcentral. Lineage: Eukaryota; Metazoa; Chordata; Mammalia; Primates; Hominidae.
CGGCUUUCUUCUCGUCGGUGUUCCCGGCUGCUAUAGAGCCGGGUGAGAGAGCGAGCGCCCGUCGGCGGGUGUCGAGGGCGGGUUGCCUCGCGCUGACCCUUCCCGCCCUCCUUCUCGUCACACACCAGGUCCCCGCGGAAGCCGCGGUGUCGGCGCCAUGGCGGAGCUGACGGCUCUUGAGAGUCUCAUCGAGAUGGGUUUCCCCAGGGGACGCGCGGAGAAGGCUCUGGCCCUCACAGGGAACCAGGGCAUCGAGGCUGCGAUGGACUGGCUGAUGGAGCACGAAGACGACCCCGAUGUGGACGAGCCUUUAGAGACUCCCCUUGGACAUAUCCUGGGACGGGAGCCCACUUCCUCAGAGCAAGGCGGCCUUGAAGGAUCUGGUUCUGCUGCCGGAGAAGGCAAACCCGUUUUGAGUGAAGAGGAAAGACAGGAACAAACUAAGAGGAUGUUGGAGCUGGUGGCCCAGAAGCAGCGGGAGCGUGAAGAAAGAGAGGAACGGGAGGCAUUGGAACGGGAACGGCAGCGCAGGAGACAAGGGCAAGAGUUGUCAGCAGCACGACAGCGGCUACAGGAAGAUGAGAUGCGCCGGGCUGCUGAGGAGAGGCGGAGGGAAAAGGCCGAGGAGUUAGCAGCCAGACAAAGAGUUAGAGAAAAGAUCGAGAGGGACAAAGCAGAGAGAGCCAAGAAGCCAGGAGCCUCCCACCAAGCGGGAGUAUGACCAGUGUCGCAUACAGGUCAGGCUGCCAGAUGGGACCUCACU